UGGAGCUAAAACUGAUGUUGUGGAUAAAGAUUGUGAAACGCUAUUACAUUGUGCUAGUGAAUUUAGUAAAAUUGAAAUGCUUAAAUUUUGGAUUAAGAGAGGAGAUUAUGACAUAAAUGUUUUAAAUAAAAAAAACAGACCUCCAUUUUUCAAUGCAGUUAAGAGUGGUAGUAUUGAAGCUGUUGAUAUCCUAUUAAUUAAUGGAGC
Amphimedon queenslandica is the source of this 207-nucleotide long non-coding RNA. RefSeq lists it as uncharacterized. The transcript is spliced from 3 exons. The record is from RefSeq and is a predicted model, not a curated record. NCBI's taxonomy places the organism in Eukaryota, Metazoa, Porifera, Demospongiae, Haplosclerida, Niphatidae.